RNAcentral lists this long non-coding RNA (206 nucleotides) under Actinidia chinensis (golden kiwifruit). Its description in RNAcentral is "long non-coding RNA (ACHI_LNC004682)". Lineage: Eukaryota; Viridiplantae; Streptophyta; Magnoliopsida; Ericales; Actinidiaceae. The record is from RNAcentral.
AAUAAGCAACUUUUCUUUUAGUCAUUUUUAGGUGCAGUGUAUAAUGCAAAGGAUAUCAAAAAGACAGUAGUAUCCAGGAAACAUCCUCAAUUUUCCAUUAAUUGCAGAAAGUGGGAAAGGCAAAGAGAUUAGGUCAAUUUUGUGGAAAAUGGAUGUGUGAUGUGCUAAUUUACACCUGUAGGGGUACAUUGAUAUUUGAUACAUUG